GUAUUGAUUCGCGCGUGAUCGCGCAAAGAACAUUCUACACUAGGGUGUUUGAUGUUUAAAAACGUGAGCACCCCCCUCCGAGGAAGGGGGGACACACGCGGUGAUGCACAAAGGGGUGAGAUGGAUUUUGUGCGAGAGCGCUCGGGCGUGCACGACCUUUGAAGGUCAGCGACAGCCCUCGCACCUCGGUUGUACGAUAAUGAUCCUUCCGCAGGUUCACCUACGGAAA
RNAcentral lists this unclassified non-coding RNA (229 nucleotides) under uncultured fungus. Its description in RNAcentral is "sequence contains ITS1". The record is from RNAcentral. Lineage: Eukaryota; Fungi.